CUUUAGUUCAGUUGGUUAGAACGUCGGAUUGUGGUUCCGAAGGUCGUGAGUUCGAAUCUCACAA
RNAcentral lists this transfer RNA (64 nucleotides) under bovine gut metagenome. It matches the Rfam family "tRNA", at positions 6 to 65 of the family's 71-position model. Rfam says of the family: Transfer RNA (tRNA) molecules are approximately 80 nucleotides in length. Their secondary structure includes four short double-helical elements and three loops (D, anti-codon, and T loops). The record is from RNAcentral.